GGGGAUUUAGCUCAGUGGUAGAGCACUUGUCUAAGCGCAAGGCCCUGGUUUCAGUCCCCA
RNAcentral lists this transfer RNA (60 nucleotides) under Rattus norvegicus (Norway rat). It matches the Rfam family "tRNA". From Rfam's summary of the family: Transfer RNA (tRNA) molecules are approximately 80 nucleotides in length. Their secondary structure includes four short double-helical elements and three loops (D, anti-codon, and T loops). The record is from Rfam by way of RNAcentral. Lineage: Eukaryota; Metazoa; Chordata; Mammalia; Rodentia; Muridae.